This 1047-nucleotide long non-coding RNA is filed under the name Apteryx haastii (Great spotted kiwi). RNAcentral's name for it is "lncRNA (ENSAHAG00000017670.1)". Lineage: Eukaryota; Metazoa; Chordata; Aves; Apterygiformes; Apterygidae. The record is from RNAcentral.
AUGAAUAAAACUUGUGUGGACAUGUGCAUUAACACCAGUACAGCGCAAAGGAAAAGUUGCAUAAAGUGUGAGUUUUCCUUCUGGUCUGUUUUGGGUUAUUUUGCAUGUUUGCGUUCGCACCUGCCCGCACACGAGCGCCGUGCGAGGAGGCGACAGCUGCGGCGGCGAGGGGAGCAGCGACCCGCAGGACUGUCCCCGAGCCCCGCGUGCGGCGCCGGAUGCUCAAACGUUUCUGGCCGAAACGGGGCGCGAUUUUGGCCGGGACGUGAGGCCCCGGCAGGCAGAGGGCUGCGUCCGCCACGGGGUCGCGUUUGCGGGGGGCGACGCUCCGCACGUCGAAGAGGCCCCCAUCCCGGGCUCCCGCCGGGGGGAACCUGCGCCAGCUGCCGUGCGGGAGCCUGGGAGGGUCCAGGAGCCCGAGCAUCCCCCACCCCUGCCCGUGGGUGUCCGGCUGGAGGCUGCCGGCGGCCUGGGCACGGGCGGGCGGAGGCGGCGCUGCUCGGCGCUGCACCGGGAGUCACCCCAGCCGGCGACGGCGGCGUGUCCGCACGCUGUCCCGUCACGUCCCGGGAAAACCGGGAAGCGAGGACGGAGCCUGACGCGUUGCAGAGGAACGGUGGCAUCUGCUCGAGGGGAUCUCGCACCUCUAAUAAUCGCUGCAGCGUGUUCGGAUGCUUGGAGGAGCUGAUCGCUUCCCGGGAGGAGCGGAGCCAUCCGGAAGCAGCCGGCAGCGCAGCUGGCAGCGGAGGCCCUGCUCGUGCGAGGGCUGUGCAGGCGGCUCGGAGCGCGGAGCCCAAGCGCCGGCGGCACCGGGGACACCUGGGACGCCUGGGACGGCGGCAGCCCCAGCGCCGAGCCCCUCUCCUCGCCCGGCCGCGCGGGCGCAGGGCCGAUGGAGCAGGCGGCGCAGCAAAGCGGGGUCGGGGUGGUCGGGGAUGGCCGUGCCGAGGCCCCUUGCGGGUACUUCUCCUGCCCCGUCCCCACGCAGCCAGCGAGCAGGUACCAGCCCGCGGCCUCGCUGCCGCGGUCCCGUCUUCCUUAGCGUGA